CUUGGCUUAGGAAUCAAUAAGACCAAAGCUGAUAUUUCAAGGAGACUUUGUUUUAUGCUUUCAGUUUGUGCGUUCUUAGAAGCAAGGCGUUUGAGUCAUGGUGUUCUUUACGAGUCCUGGUACUUCUGCGUCGUUGGUAGUUGGAACCUUCGAGAAACUGAUCUGAAGUGACAUAAGAAUUUUGGAAAAGUGACCUAACGAGAACUACCAGAAACUUCUAAUAAAUUCAUGAACUCACACUUCAACAAUGAAGUCUUAAAAGGUCAGUCUGCCAGUUCGACAAUAAAGUCGAGAAAAAAGUAUAGACUACCGUACACUUUAUGGGAGGAAGCUUUGCUGAAUUAUAAAGCGAUCAGAACUAUAGAGGAAGAGAAAGUACUGAAGGUGUUACUUCUCCUGGCUUGCCAAAAGACGCUUUUUAGAGUUCUUCUAGAAUUUCUGGUUAGAAUUUUAUUUCCUCCUGACCUGUGAUGCAAUGUAGAUAAGCCUUCAGGAAAUUUUGAUUUUAAAAUCAUUUUGGUCAAAACGCUACGCUUGGAUGUAGACUUAUGUUUCCUUAAUGCUUUAAAUUCCUGGAUAUGAAAUAAAGGAAUCUUGUAAUCUGGCUUUUUGAAAUAUCUAAUAUAUUAUUGUAGUCUCUUGAAAAGUAAACGGUUUGUAAAAGCAA
Molecule: long non-coding RNA, 667 nt
Organism: Macrobrachium nipponense
Lineage: Eukaryota; Metazoa; Arthropoda; Malacostraca; Decapoda; Palaemonidae
Exons: 3
Source: RefSeq, a predicted model, not a curated record